Molecule: long non-coding RNA, 460 nt
Organism: Ornithodoros turicata
Lineage: Eukaryota; Metazoa; Arthropoda; Arachnida; Ixodida; Argasidae
Exons: 5
Source: RefSeq, a predicted model, not a curated record
GUCAGGAGGGCAACAUACAGCUGUAUUUAAUGGAUGAGUUAUCACUUCGCUCUAUGGUUGCUGGUGCUGAGAAAUGCCUCGAUGACAUUUUCAUUGUUAAAAAUGGACUAUGGAAACAAGAUCAGUCAACAUGUGUGAGUGCACCUUCACCAAUCCCACAAAUGCCUCUGCUCUCACGAAUUUAUUACCCUUGGGAGAGCCUCAGCAAGACAGUACUUGAUGCAUUGGAAGCAGACAAUGUUCUGCUUCCCUCUCAACGACAGGAAGUGGCACACAUGGCAGUGUCAUGGCCCAGCACAUCCAUUGAAGGCACCUGGUUGGUAUCAUUGAGAACGAAGGGAGCCAGCAGGCAUAAAAAAAUCAAGAGGGCUACAUACAUAAAUGCGUGAGGCAAUGAGGGCCGCAGAUGAAUAUAGCAAGAAGUGGGAACAUCUCAUGUGAUACAAAUCGGUCAAAUGUU